GCAAAAUGCUAGAUGCACUAAUUUAGUGCGAUCAAGACUUUGAUUGAUAACUGGUAGAGAAAAUAACCUGAUAGAUUUUGUUUUUCGAUAUGGAUGUAACCUCUGUCCAUUAUUUGCUUCAUGGUGAUGUUAUAGAAUGUGGCGCAGGCGCCAGGGGGAUACGCAAACCGUAGUGAGAAGGAUACAUGAUAUCUCUCCCCCGACCCAUUAAGCUGUAUGAAUGGGCAUUUAAAACUUAACCCUUUUUAGGAGUAUAUAUAUGUGUGUGUGCGUGUGUGUGUGUGUGUAUGUGUGUGUGUGUGUGUGUGUGUGUGUGUGUGUGUGUGUGUGUGUGUGUGUGUGUGUGUGUGUGUGUGUGUGUGUGUGUGUGUGUGUGUGUGUGUUUGUUCAUAUUUUACAUAUAAUCUUACGAAGUCACCAUUCCUGCAUCACGCACCCUGUUCUCAUUAUUGAAAAGCAGUGUUGCCUAUUUUCCGCGCAUCACAUAAGGGCUGUUACACAACUCCGGCAUCAGUCGUGUUGUGGCAGAUCUAGUGUACGGUGCCUUUGCUCUUUCCUUUGAAGGGAGUAAAAGAGGAAUUGUAAAGAAAAUAAUAAGAAGAAUUGAGAGGAAUGCAGCUACUACUCGGAGGUUUCUUGGCAUUAACACAUCUUAGAAUUUAUAAACAUGAAUCAUCAACAUCCCAGCGGCUUAUUCGGGCCCCUCAACAAGCACUAUAGAUCCCUCAAGCGCGUUUAUAUGAACCUCAAGAGAGGCGUGGAGAUUUCGCUUCGCUUCGUCAACGCUCUGGUAAAAGUAUUCACGCCGAUCGUCUUUUGCUUCUUCUUCGUCUUCAGAAUCGUGGAUAAAAUCGGCAAGUACCUCUCGUGGAUGGCAUAUCAUCGCUCAGGAGUAUGACAGGCUUAGGCCGCGAUGAGGGCCGUGGAAGGAGGCUACAGAGGCUGACGAAGAGCUGCGUCGGAAGACAAAUGUUUGUGGAGGACCAGCCGAUAUGCCAAGAGACAGAAAAAAUGGAACCUUCGAAACGUAGCUGAGAAUGAAUUCUUUGAAUAAGCAUGACUAUAUAACUGACAUAAGUACAUGUAUACUGUAGCUAAAUGGCCUUUGAUAUUGAUUACACAAUACAGAAUGUUUGAAAAGA
Penaeus monodon (black tiger shrimp) is the source of this 1142-nucleotide long non-coding RNA. RefSeq lists it as uncharacterized. The record is from RefSeq and is a predicted model, not a curated record. The transcript is spliced from 3 exons. Lineage: Eukaryota; Metazoa; Arthropoda; Malacostraca; Decapoda; Penaeidae.